This 391-nucleotide long non-coding RNA is filed under the name Falco tinnunculus (common kestrel). RNAcentral describes it as "lncRNA (ENSFTIG00000011137.1)". Lineage: Eukaryota; Metazoa; Chordata; Aves; Falconiformes; Falconidae. The record is from RNAcentral.
CACAGAGGAACGCGGGGGAUGCUCAGUAGUGCAAGUUUUGCUGGCACAAGCUUCUCGUGUCUUCUACUCCCAUCUUACAUCUGACCAGCUCCUCACCUGUGUCAGGAGGACCCUACAUGGGAAGACUGAGCUCAGGACAUUUCACCCCUGAAGCAGGAGAGUAAUUCCACACUACAACCUCAACAGGAUCCUCAGCCACGCUGUGAGGCAGGUACCACUGGUUGUUUUGUUCCCAGCUCUGAAUGUGUGCUUGGAGGGAGGGAAAGUGGACGAUCUGAGAUGAGAAAGGGGCUGUGAUUCUUCCUCUCCUCCUUCACCACUCUCCAGACAAUGUAUAAGAGAAAACCAAUUUGUGCAGAAAAAACAGGAGCAAGGAGUUUCAGCACACUUG